This 253-nucleotide ribosomal RNA is filed under the name uncultured bacterium. RNAcentral's name for it is "partial 16S ribosomal RNA". It matches the Rfam family "Bacterial small subunit ribosomal RNA", at positions 524 to 776 of the family's 1533-position model. The record is from RNAcentral.
UACGUAGGGACCGAGCGUUGUCCGGAAUCAUUGGGCGUAAAGAGCGUGUAGGCGGCUAUUUAAGCCCUGCGUGAAAUCCUGCGGCUCAACCGCAGACGGUCGUGGGAAACUGGAUGGCUAGAGUGCGGGAGAGGAGAGUGGAAUUCCCGGUGUAGCGGUGAAAUGCGCAGAUAUCGGGAAGAACACCCGUGGCGAAGGCGGCUCUCUGGAACGCAACUGACGCUGAGACGCGAAAGCGUGGGGAGCAAACAGG